UACGUAGGGUGCAAGCGUUGUCCGGAAUUAUUGGGCGUAAAGAGCUCGUAGGCGGUUUGUCGCGUCUGCUGUGAAAACCCGAGGCUCAACCUCGGGCCUGCAGUGGGUACGGGCAGACUAGAGUGCGGUAGGGGAGAGUGGAAUUCCUGGUGUAGCGGUGGAAUGCGCAGAUAUCAGGAGGAACACCGAUGGCGAAGGCAGAUCUCUGGGCCGUAACUGACGCUGAGGAGCGAAAGCAUGGGGAGCGAACAGG
This 253-nucleotide ribosomal RNA is filed under the name uncultured bacterium. RNAcentral's name for it is "partial 16S ribosomal RNA". It matches the Rfam family "Bacterial small subunit ribosomal RNA", at positions 524 to 776 of the family's 1533-position model. The record is from RNAcentral.